Molecule: ribosomal RNA, 119 nt
Organism: Anolis carolinensis (green anole)
Lineage: Eukaryota; Metazoa; Chordata; Lepidosauria; Squamata; Anolidae
Source: Ensembl
AGCUACAGCAAUACCACCCUGAACAUGUCCAAUCUCAUCUGAUCUCAGAAGCUAAACAGGGUCAGGCCAAGUUAGUACUUGGAUGGGAAACUGCCUGGGAAUACUGAGUGCUGUAGCUU